GACGAACGCUGGCGGCGUGCUUAACACAUGCAAGUCGAACGGAAAGGCCCUGCUUUUGUGGUGUUCUCGAGUGGCGAACGGGUGAGUAACACGUGAGUAACCUGCCCUUGACUUUGGGAUAACUUCAGGAAACUGGGGCUACUACCGUAUAGGAUCUCCUGCUGCAUUGUGGGGGUUGGAAAUUUUCGGCGGGUGGGGAUGGACUCGCGGCUUAUCAGCUUGUUGGUGGGGUAGUGGCUUACCAAGGCUUUGACGGGUAGCCGGCCGGAGAGGGUGAACGGCCACAUUGGGACUAAGAUACGGACCAGACGCGUACGGGAGGCAGAAGUGGGGAAUAUUGCACAAUGAGCGGAAGCCUGAUGAAGAAACGCCGCGUGCGGGAUGACGGCUUUCGGGUUGUAAACCGCUUUCGCCUGUGACGAAGCGUGAGUGACGGUAAUGGGUAAAGAAGCACCGGCUAACUACGUG
RNAcentral lists this ribosomal RNA (468 nucleotides) under uncultured bacterium. RNAcentral's name for it is "partial 16S ribosomal RNA". It matches the Rfam family "Bacterial small subunit ribosomal RNA", at positions 28 to 507 of the family's 1533-position model. The record is from RNAcentral.